CCUACGGGGGGCAGCAGUGGGGAAUAUUGGACAAUGGGGGCAACCCUGAUCCAGCCAUGCCGCGUGUGUGAAGAAGGCCCUCGGGUUGUAAAGCACUUUCAGUGAGGAAGAACGCCUGGUGGUUAAUACCCAUCAGGAAAGACAUCACUCACAGAAGAAGCACCGGCUAACUCCGUGCCAGCAGCCGCGGUAAUACGGAGGGUGCGAGCGUUAAUCGGAAUUACUGGGCGUAAAGCGCGCGUAGGUGGCUUGAUAAGCCGGUUGUGAAAGCCCCGGGCUCAACCUGGGAACGGCAUCCGGAACUGUCAAGCUAGAGUGCAGGAGAGGAAGGUAGAAUUCCCGGUGUAGCGGUGAAACGCGUAGAGCUCGGGAGGAAUACCAGUGGCGAAGGCGGCCUUCUGGACUGACACUGACACUGAGGUGCGAAAGCGUGGGUAGCAAACAGGAUUAGAUACCCUAGUAGUC
This 465-nucleotide ribosomal RNA is filed under the name Vreelandella stevensii. RNAcentral describes it as "partial 16S ribosomal RNA". It matches the Rfam family "Bacterial small subunit ribosomal RNA", at positions 338 to 795 of the family's 1533-position model. The record is from RNAcentral. Lineage: Bacteria; Pseudomonadati; Pseudomonadota; Gammaproteobacteria; Oceanospirillales; Halomonadaceae.